RNAcentral lists this ribosomal RNA (224 nucleotides) under uncultured bacterium. RNAcentral describes it as "partial 16S ribosomal RNA". It matches the Rfam family "Bacterial small subunit ribosomal RNA", at positions 524 to 753 of the family's 1533-position model. The record is from RNAcentral.
UACGAAGGGGCUAGCGUUGCUCGGAAUUACUGGGCGUAAAGCGCACGUAGGCGGCUUUCUAAGUCGGGGUGAAAUCCUGGAGCUCAACUCCAGAACUGCCUUCGAUACUGGAGAGCUUGAGUCCGGGAGAGGUGAGUGGAAUGCAAGUGUAGAGGUGAAUUCGUAGAUAUUGCAAGAACACCAGUGGCGAAGGCGGCUCACUGGCCCGUAAUGACGCUGAGGCA